RNAcentral lists this ribosomal RNA (471 nucleotides) under uncultured organism. RNAcentral's name for it is "partial 16S ribosomal RNA". It matches the Rfam family "Bacterial small subunit ribosomal RNA", at positions 334 to 801 of the family's 1533-position model. The record is from RNAcentral.
CACUCCUGCGGGAGGCAGCAGUGAGGAAUAUUGGACAAUGGGUGGAAGCCUGAUCCAGCCAUCCCGCGUGCAGGAAGACGGCCCUAUGGGUUGUAAACUGCUUUUAUCUGGGGAUAAACCUACUUACGUGUAAGUAGCUGAAGGUACCAGAAGAAUAAGCACCGGCUAACUCCGUGCCAGCAGCCGCGGUAAUACGGAGGGUGCAAGCGUUAUCCGGAUUUAUUGGGUUUAAAGGGUCCGUAGGCGGACUGAUAAGUCAGUGGUGAAAUCCGACAGCUUAACUGUCGAACUGCCAUUGAUACUGUUAGUCUUGAGUAAGGUUGAAGUGGCUGGAAUAAGUAGUGUAGCGGUGAAAUGCAUAGAUAUUACUUAGAACACCAAUUGCGAAGGCAGGUCACUAAGUCUUAACUGACGCUGAUGGACGAAAGCGUGGGGAGCGAACAGGAUUAGAAACCCUAGUAGUCCCAUGAU